UUUGUCACUAACACCGUUUGAACAGUACACGUGUCGGUGUGUCCAAGUGCCACGUGUCAGUCCACAUGUGCAAAUUGAUUGCCACAUGUGACAAAAUUGACGGAAAUGACUAACUUGAAACCUAAAAUAAACGUAAGGGACCAAAUUAAUACUUUUUAAACGUAAGAGACCAAAUUUAACCGUAAAUAAAUAUUGAGACUAACUUGCUUUAGUAUACUAUGUCUAUGCUCUAAUGAAUGAUAAUCAUAAAUAAAUACUGUACAUGAUUAGGGUGAUUGUCUAAUUUGGUAAAGAGCAAAUAAUCAUAACAUCUGUAGAAAGAAGAUGAGUGGAUCAGGGAGUAGAAAAAAUGAGAAGGAUAGCAAGGAAGACAAUGAAGGAGAAGGAAGUGGAUGGGCAUCAACGUUUUUGAAAGUAGCCGGUGCAGUGGCCGCAGCAGCAGCAGUAGCCGGUAGCUUAUACAGUAUCCACCGUAUCCUAAAACAACCCG
RNAcentral lists this long non-coding RNA (490 nucleotides) under Trifolium pratense (red clover). RNAcentral's name for it is "long non-coding RNA (TPRA_LNC007144)". The record is from RNAcentral. Lineage: Eukaryota; Viridiplantae; Streptophyta; Magnoliopsida; Fabales; Fabaceae.